RNAcentral lists this long non-coding RNA (2951 nucleotides) under Sus scrofa (pig). RNAcentral's name for it is "lncRNA (ENSSSCG00005010327.1)". Lineage: Eukaryota; Metazoa; Chordata; Mammalia; Artiodactyla; Suidae. The record is from RNAcentral.
UAGGGGUCUAAUCGGAGCUGUAGCCACUGGCCUGCGCCACAGCCACAGCAAUGAGGCAUCCAAGCCGUGUCUGCAACCCACACCACAGCUCGCGGCAACGCCGGAUCCUCAACCCACUGAGCAAGGCCAGGGAGUGAACCUGCAACCUCAUGGUUCCUAGUCGGAUUCGUUAACCACUGUGCCACGACGGGAACUCCUUAGUUCCUAUUCUUAAUGAAAACAUUUUCUGCCUGAAUUUUUUAGUGUGGCGUUAUUAAACAAUGAAAACAUCUUUUCCAUACUUUUCAAAGUCUACCAGUUCCCUAUAUGUUUUGUUGGUUUGUACUAUAAAUGAACUCUAAAUAUUUUAGGAAAAAGUUUUAUGAUAGAUAAGUUCUUUUUAAAAUUUAGCACCUAAUUUUUUUAAAAUCAAAAUGAAAAAUUUCUUGCAUAAAGGGGAACGUUUACCUUUUACUUUGUUUUUCUUCCAUGUGGUAAAUCUUUUCCUUUACAAAGGAAGUGUGCUUACAGAAUUACUGAGGUGGUUUUUAGAAAGCAGUAAUCAUAGAAACCCCGUCCGUGCUUGCCCUAAUCUGUCUCCCCAAAGCCCUUGGUCUGAAAGCCAGCCGUGGCUCUUGUCCUUAUUACAUGUGACUCGUGGAACAGGAUUGUGCUGUUCACUGUGUACGCUGGCACGGUGCCCUAGCAGCCCCUGUGAUGCUGCCUCAACAUCACGAAGCUGUUUGUGAGUUUUACACCGUAUUGUAUACUAUAUUACAGUGUAUUUACUCUGUUGAUAAGUUACAGAAUAUCUGUAGUAUUUCUGCAUAAUCUAUAAAAAUACGACAUUAGAAAAUCUAGGGACUGUAAAUAUGAAAACAUGAAAAAAAGUUCUUUGGCACAAAAUCCCCUCCAAAAUAUGAAUAAUAUUUGCAUUGAGAGCCAUGAGAUUAAAUAUGCUUCAUUUUAUUAAAAAAUACUUUGGGUGAGACUAACUGGGUAUGGCGAUUUGGUUAAUUUUAGUGCAAAAUAGGAAUAAUAUUUGCAUUAAGAGCCAUGAGAUUAAAUAUGCUUCAUUUUAUUUAAAAAUACUUUGGGCGAGGCUAACUAGGUAUGGCAAUUUGGUUAAUUUUAGUGCAAAAUAGGAAUAAUACUUGCACUGAGAGCCAUGAGAUUAAAUAUGCUUCAUUUUAUUUAAAAAUACUUUGGGCGAGGCUAACUAGGUAUGGCAAUUUGGUUAAUUUUAGUGCCAAGUAUGAAUAAUACUUGCACUGAGAGCCGUGAGAUUAAAUAUGCUUCAUUUUAUUAAAAAAUACUUUGGGCUAGGCUAACUAGGUAUGGCGAUUUGGUUAAUUUUAGUGCUUUUUUUAUUUUUAUUAUUUUUGGCUGUGCCUGUGGCACACGGAAUUUCCUGGGGUCUAACCCGCACCUCAGCAGCAACCCAAGCCUCUGCAGUGACAACGCUGGAUCCCUGACCCGUUGUGCCACGAGAGAGCUCCCAGGUGCUUAGUUUUAAUGACUUUUGUAGAUAAAAAUGUUAUUUUCACAAAAGUGUGUAGAUCUAAGUGGAAGAAAUAAAUCAUUGGCUGCAGUUCAAAGUCAUGAGCUUCAUUUUUGAAUCAUGCCCGCUAAUUAUGCAGAAGUUUUCAUUUAACUUGGGCUGUUAAAUGUGCAUUGUCCCUGAUGUCAGUCAGGUCUUGCCCCUUAAUCGGAAGGUUGAAUCUUGUAAGGAUAGCUUCGGAAUCCACUCAACCCUCUUCGUUUGGAAGUUUUUUAAAGAAACGGGGAAAAUUGUUUCCAGUUAACAUUGCACAUAUUAGAGUUUUUAAUAAGAGACUCAUCAAUUUUGGCAACAAAAUCACAGAGCAGCGGAAACAAAUCCUGGAGGUCAGGGCCUGGGAGAGUCCCUCUGCCUGCCUCCCUGAGCCUCUUGGGCCCAAAACCCAGUUCUCUGUCAGUUCCACCCAUUGUUUUCCUGGUUCUGCUCAGUCUGGACAUGAUAGUCCUUAAACAACAGGACAAGGUUAACCCCUGUCCUGAGUUUUCAUUUCUCCUCAGACCUGAACUAGUUCCUGACUUGAGGAUAUGAUGUGCGUGUGUCACUGUCUUUGAUUUCCCUGUGCCAGGUCCACCGCAGGUCCCCCAGCUCUGGUGGAGAACUCACCCUGGGGCGGUGCCGGUGUCAUACUGGCCUCAGGGAGCUGCCUCUCAGCCAGGACGCUUUUGCCGACCUCUCCGUGUUCAUGGAGGGAUAGAACUGUUCAGCUAAAUAUCCAACAGCUUUCAAGCUUUGAAGAUGAAAAGGACAGGCUGGAAACUUUCCAUGACAAGUUGCUGAGCCGGGAAGUGAAUCUGCAAUCCUUCCGGUGUCCUAAGGACCUCACGCCAGAGAGAAGUGCGUGGUUGGAAAAUGACAGCCCUGUAUUCCCCGGAUUGAGGCGGUCACCCAGCGGCUCAGUAGUUCUCAGUUAGCAGUGAGCGGUCCCACCGUGGACACCAGCUCUACCUCCUGGAAAAGCCAAGUGGAGAAGGCAGCUGAGAGGCUGGACAGUGCCUGCAUCAGCGGCACCUGGAAGGGAGAAGGUAGCCUUGGUUGGAAAACGGGCAGCUCAUGUGUCAGCGAACGACAAAGCUGAACAAUGAAAGGUCUCAUGUAGAAGAACUUGACUGUAAUACAAACUUACUAUAUUAAUGUUUUAUCUUCUCAGUGCAAACAGAAAAGUAACCGUCCGCCCAUUUGUCACGCUCAACAGAGCUUUAAGAGAGGUUAACGCAGACCAUUCAGCAUCAUCUAUGAAAGAAUUACAUUUCGCAAUAGUGAGUAAAAGGAAAAAACAUGAACAACAAAGGAUGGUAUUCUUCCCCACCAAUUAUUUCCAUGCUCAGUCUGCACUAAUAGUUACAAGCGGAGAAAAAAGGCAACGUUAAAAGCGCUUAAAAUUUAGGAUAUAAUAGAAUGGUUUCGUCUUGCG